GCCCUUACCAAGACACAAAGUUUGACAAGUGAUCCGUAAGUAAGGUUUUCUAACCCCUUAGCUCACUUGUAUCCCAACUUUCAUUUGAAAAAGCAGCAACAUGAAAGCCGUCGUGAAGUUGGGAUUGAAGAUGAACCAGCUGUCGUCCUUCAACAGACCCCUCGGAAACGCCUGAACGAGGAGGUGUCUCGGUCCUCAGGCGACUCAUCACAAACACAAUUUCCGGCUUUCAAGACUGCUCCUAGCGGCCAGGCUAAACCAAGAAGGCGAAGGCAGCAAAACCGGCGGAAGACCCGCCAGUGCUAGCAUCUGACCCGGCUAGGCCGCCUUUGUAACACCCCGGAUAUGAUUUUCCUAUUUUGUAAUCCAACUCUUGCCGUUUCCGGCGUUAAGUUAUUUU
Long non-coding RNA from Triticum aestivum (bread wheat), 400 nucleotides. RefSeq lists it as uncharacterized. The record is from RefSeq and is a predicted model, not a curated record. The transcript has 3 exons. NCBI's taxonomy places the organism in Eukaryota, Viridiplantae, Streptophyta, Magnoliopsida, Poales, Poaceae.